UACGUAGGUGGCAAGCGUUGUCCGGAUUUACUGGGCGUAAAGAGCGCGCAGGCGGUCGUUCAAGUCGCGUGUGAAAGCCCCCGGCUCAACUGGGGAGGGUCACGCGAUACUGAUCGACUCGAAGGCAGGAGAGGGAAGUGGAAUUCCCGGUGUAGUGGUGAAAUGCGUAGAUAUCUGGAGGAACACCGGUGGCGAAGGCGGCGUUCUGGACUGCAACUGACACUGAGGAACGAAAGCCAGGGGAGCAAACGGG
Molecule: ribosomal RNA, 253 nt
Filed under: uncultured bacterium
Lineage: Bacteria
Description: partial 16S ribosomal RNA
Rfam family: Bacterial small subunit ribosomal RNA
Source: RNAcentral